Molecule: small RNA, 556 nt
Filed under: Pongo abelii (Sumatran orangutan)
Lineage: Eukaryota; Metazoa; Chordata; Mammalia; Primates; Hominidae
Description: processed transcript
Source: RNAcentral
UAGUUCAAAUGACCUCUUAAACAUGGCCAGUGACAGUUACAGAACUCUAAAUGGUGGUUAAUCUAGUUACAAGCAUUUUAUAUUAAGUCACCCUUAAAUGGGAACAUACUCAUUGAAAAUCAAAGAGUGCCAGCUUCUCUCAGGGCACCAGAGCCUCUUUUCUCAUGAGGAGUGACACAGCUGUACAAAAACUUGCCCAGGGCAAUGGACACUGUGUCAACGGGGUCAGUGGUCAAGUCCAUGGCUUCUAUAGCCUUCCCAAGCCGAGCCGGCACAAUACAGAAUUCAGAGACAGUACCUAUGACCUCCCCCGCAGCCUGGCCUCCCAUGGCCACACCAAGGGCAGCCUCACAGGCUCCGAGACAGAUAAUGAGGAUGUGUACACCUUCAAGACGCCCAGCAACACCCUGUGCAGGGAGUUUGGGGACCUCCUGGUAGACAAUAUGGAUGUUCCGGCCACCCCACUCUCAGCCUACCAGAUCCCUAGGACAUUCACUCUGGACAAAAACCACAAUGCCAUGACAGUGGCCACUCCUGGGGACUCAGCCAUAGCUCC